GCAAAACUUGAUUAACAAUGACAUUUGCAUAUUUUAGCAAGUUAAAGUUUUAGAGAACUAUAGCCAAGAUCUCUAUGUGAUUCUGGAUUUAAUGAGCGCACAAUUUACAAUCUCUGAAACCUACAUGGUUGCCUACUGAUUGCAGGUAUAAGAGAUUAAACCUAUAGGUAUGAUAUCUAGGCAUUUUUACGUAGUAACUAAUAGGGUAAUUACAGUAUUCUGUUCAAAAUUUGUUAACGGGUCCUAUAGGCAUGGUUUCUUGUGAUGGUAAUUAGCACAUCAUUAAAGAUACUUAAAGAAACGAGUGGGACAAUUUAUUUAUCUGAUUCAGCCCCUAUAUGCAUGAUUUCUAUAAUUAAGACAAGUUUUAGAUCCUAUAGGCAUGAUUUCUAUAAUUAAAACUGAAUUCUGAUCCUAUAUACAUGAUUUCUAAUAAGCAAGCGUAGAACAUACUUGAACCAAUGAAGAACCUAUAGGCAGGAUGACUAACAUAUAAUAAUUGAACAUUCUGAACAUAACAAUAUACCUAUCGGAAAGAUUUCUACAAUAAUUGGAACCUAACAUGUUUUUCAGCAAAGAUAAAAUACAUAUAGGCAUUAUUUCUAACACAUGAUAGCUGAACAUGUUUGAACAUAAUAGCACAUUUAACUAAGUAAUGAACCUUUUGGAAAGAUCUCUAAAAAUUUUAGUGCAAGUAUAAGAUAAAGACCGUUCCCCAAUUUCACUAAUACCCCAAAAUAUUAUUACAUGAAUUAAUACAGACCCAUAAUGAAUAGAAAUAAACUAUAAAGUAGAAUAGCCAUAUGGAGCCUACAGUAGGCCUAAAGGUACACCUGGCUCGGUGAGGCCUUCAUUCUCACAAUCCACAAUAACCCCAAAAUUACAUAUUCAUUGACAUAAGGCAGCUAGGACUUGAGCAUAUAGAACCAAGACCCUUGUGUGUCAGAGUUCCCAAAGGUUUCAAGAACCCAGGGCAGUGCUCAUACUAGGGAGGUUAACAAAGAUAAUUUAGAGGAGAAACAAGGGACCAAACUCUAGUGUGUCAGAUUUUACAAAGGUCUCAAAUAAACCCUAAUGAGUGUUCACACUAGGAGACUAAAGGGUAGAACCUAAGUAGCCUUGACUUUCAUCCAACUAAGAAUAUAAUUUAAAGAACUUAGGUGAUAGGUGAAACAAAGGACAAAAGUUGAGAAAACACAAAUUGAAAGGUUUAAAUAGACACAACUGAAUUAAAAGAACAAGCUUAAUAUAAACUGAGAAACAGAUUCAACACUUAGCACAAAUAAUCAUAGAGAGAGUAGGUUAUAAUCUUAUCAAAUAGGUUAGAUAACAAUAAAAAAUUAAGACAUAUAUACAAAUUAUUAAUCAGAGUAGAAGGUUAAAUCAUAUCAAGUAGCAAGCAUAGGCAUUCAAGCAUUGUUAUAGUAGUCUAAUUGACAAAAGAUGAUCCAGUUCAUAUCAAAGAUUUAGCCUAACAUCUCAAAGUAUUGAUUCAAACAUAAUGAGAUAUUUGUUCCAAAUCAUAAAAAAAACAACGGGAAAAAGGGGGUAUAUGGUUAAGUGAUCAUGCUGAAUAACACAAUAGCAAGGAGGUAAAUUACGACUAAAAAUGAAGAUCUUAACAUAGGCCAACACAAAUAGGAGGCUCCCACUGGAGGGAUACGGGACGAGUUAGUAACAUGUUCAUGAGCAUUUAUGAUUUUAACACACUAACUAAAUAAGCCUCAAGUAAGUCUAGAUUAAUAAGGCUAGGAAUAGAUAACUUUAGAACUCGUGGCAUUAGAAAAGUAAAGUGUUAAGAGGCUAACACAUAUAAAGUUGAUAGAACAAUGCCUAACAGGACUCAUAAGCAUAUCGAGCCAUUGAUUCAGAAGUAAGACCACAUGCAAAUCAUAGACAAGAAAGAAUGAAAUUGCAGAAGUCAAGUAAGUCACCAACUAAAAAAAUUGCACCAAAUAAUAAAAGCCAUGAUAUUCUGAAUAGCAAGAUCCCAGAACUAAAUAGCCUUGGCUUCUGGCCAGAGAAAAUCGAAGUAUAGAAUGCAAAUCAUAAUAAAGUUUUUCAUUUAGUGAAUCUAUAUCGAGUCCAGAAAAAUUUUCCAAAAGGAAUGGGGGAAGAGGUUUAUAUAGUUGUAGAAAUUAACAUCCAAAUAAGGAAACUCAUCAAUCAAACACAAGAAAAGGAAAUAUUUAUUACAUGGAAUCAGAAUCAGUAAGGGAAAGGGAAAAUCUCAAACCUUAACUAUAGGGAGAGUGUAAAAUCGGCUUAAUAAAAUCAAACACCACAUAGAACAGGACGAACACAGAUGGAAAAUCACUUAAAAUUAUAGAAUCAAACCCGAUUUGGUUCGAUUAAAAGAGGUAUAAAAAACCUAAUUUAUGGUGGGUAAGAAUCAUCAAUAGAUACAGAAAAUAUUCGUACUUACAAAGGAUACAUGAUGAACAUAGACAGAAUAAUUAGAGAAAUCAAAAAUUUGAACCAAUUUGUUCGAUUCUGAUGAGAUUUGUUUGCCAUGUUAGGCAAGCAACUAGGUAACACCAAAAACGAGUAACCAGUAGAGAAGGAACACGGAUAUGGUGAGUAAUUAACAGGUAAAUCCCUUGGCUAAAAGGAUUAGGAAGGGGAUUGAUAAAGGGAGCCGAUAAGGGUUCUUCAAAGGUGAGACAGAGAGAGUUUAGAGGCGGCAGUCUUUAGGAAAUGGGGGAUUAGGGUUAGAGUGAGGAGAUAUAAGGAAUAGUGAUGGGUUUUUCUGUGAUGUUGAUCAUUUUUUAUUAACGACUGAUGUUUAAAGAGUUGUAGGUUAGGUUAAUUAGCUUUUUGGGAUGCAUGAUUAUUUGGUUGAG
This 2843-nucleotide long non-coding RNA is filed under the name Nicotiana benthamiana. Its description in RNAcentral is "long non-coding RNA (NBEN_LNC022612)". Lineage: Eukaryota; Viridiplantae; Streptophyta; Magnoliopsida; Solanales; Solanaceae. The record is from RNAcentral.